RNAcentral lists this ribosomal RNA (1102 nucleotides) under Francisella endosymbiont of Amblyomma varanense. RNAcentral's name for it is "bacterial SSU rRNA". It matches the Rfam family "Bacterial small subunit ribosomal RNA", at positions 164 to 1263 of the family's 1533-position model. The record is from RNAcentral. Lineage: Bacteria; Pseudomonadati; Pseudomonadota; Gammaproteobacteria; Thiotrichales; Francisellaceae.
UAAUACCGCAUAGUAUCUGUGGAUUAAAGGUGGCUUUCGAGCUGUCGCAGAUGGAUGAGCCUGUGUUGGAUUAGCUAGUUGGUGGGGUAAGGGCCUACCAAGGCUACGAUCCAUAGCUGAUUUGAGAGGAUGAUCAGCCACAUUGGGACUGAGACACGGCCCAAACUCCUACGGGAGGCAGCAGUGAGGAAUAUUGGACAAUGGGGGCAACCCUGAUCCAGCAAUGCCAUGUGUGUGAAGAAGGCCUUAGGGUUGUAAAGCACUUUAGUUGGGGAAGAAAGCUUUAAGGUUAAUAGCCUUGGGGAAGGACGUUACCCAAAGAAUAAGCACCGGCUAACUCCGUGCCAGCAGCCGCGGUAAUACGGGGGGUGCAAGCGUUAAUCGGAAUUACUGGGCGUAAAGGGUCUGUAGGUGGUUUGUUAAGUCAGAUGUGAAAGCCCAGGGCUCAACCUUGGAACUGCAUUUGAUACUGGCAAACUAGAGUACAGUAGAGGAAUGGGGAAUUUCUGGUGUAGCGGUGAAAUGCGUAGAGAUCAGAAGGAACACCAAUGGCGAAGGCAACAUUCUGGAUCGAUACUGACACUGAGGGACGAAAGCGUGGGGAUCAAACAGGAUUAGAUACCCUGGUAGUCCACGCUGUAAACGAUGAGUACUAGCUGUUGGAGUCGGUGUAAAGGCUCUAGUGGCGCAGUUAACGCGAUAAGUACUCCGCCUGGGGACUACGGGCCGCAAGGCUAAAACUCAAAGGAAUUGACGGGGACCCGCACAAGCGGUGGAGCAUGUGGUUUAAUUCGAUGCAACGCGAAGAACCUUACCUGGUCUUGACAUCCUGCGAGCUUUCUAGAGAUAGGUUGGUGCCUUCGGGAACGCAGUGACAGGUGCUGCACGGCUGUCGUCAGCUCGUGUUGUGAAAUGUUGGGUUAAGUCCCGCAACGAGCGCAACCCCUAUUGAUAGUUACCAUCAUUAAGUUGGGUACUCUAUUGAGACUGCCGCUGACAAGGCGGAGGAAGGUGGGGAUGACGUCAAGUCAUCAUGGCCCUUACGACCAGGGCUACACACGUGCUACAAUGGGUAUUACAGAGGGCUGCGAAAGAGCGAUCU